RNAcentral lists this long non-coding RNA (241 nucleotides) under Micromonas pusilla. Its description in RNAcentral is "long non-coding RNA (MPUS_LNC000167)". The record is from RNAcentral. Lineage: Eukaryota; Viridiplantae; Chlorophyta; Mamiellophyceae; Mamiellales; Mamiellaceae.
UCACACUGGUUCCCAUACGACCCCGUCGCCGUGGUGAACGCCGAUCCUUAAAGACUUUUCCCGGCGUUCGCAUCUCUCCGCCCAGGGUCCCUCGCGUUCAAUCCCCGCCCGUGUUGCCUUUCAACUCCGCUUCUGACGCCUUUCAACUCCACCCCAACUUCGCUUCAUAUGGAACGACCCUCAGAGCCGACCACGUCAUCGCGAACUCGCUCGAGGAGACGGAGGGGCGGUACGGCAAAGG